CCUACGGGUGGCUGCAGUAAGGAAUAUUGGUCAAUGGACGCAAGUCUGAACCAGCCAUGCCGCGUGAAGGAUGAAGGUCCUCUGGAUUGUAAACUUCUUUUAUGGGGGACGAAAUCUAUAUUUCUAUGUAGUCUGACGGUACCCUAGGAAUAAGCACCGGCUAACUCCGUGCCAGCAGCCGCGGUAAUACGGAGGGUGCAAGCGUUAUCCGGAUUCACUGGGUUUAAAGGGUGCGUAGGAGGGCAGGUAAGUCAGUGGUGAAAUCUCCGGGCUUA
RNAcentral lists this ribosomal RNA (275 nucleotides) under uncultured bacterium. Its description in RNAcentral is "partial 16S ribosomal RNA". It matches the Rfam family "Bacterial small subunit ribosomal RNA", at positions 338 to 611 of the family's 1533-position model. The record is from RNAcentral.